CACGUAGUUAGCCGGUGCUUAUUCUCCAGGUACCGUCAUCUUCCCGAGGUAUUAACCCAGGACAUUUCUUCCCUGACAAAAGCGGUUUACAACCCGAAGGCCUUCUUCCCGCACGCGGCAUGGCUGGAUCAGGCUUGCGCCCAUUGUCCAAAAUUCCCCACUGCUGCCUCCCGUAGGAGUCUGGGCCGUGUCUCAGUCCCAGUGUGGCUGGUCGUCCUCUCAGACCAGCUACAGAUCGUCGGCUUGGUAGGCCUUUACCCACCAACUACCUAAUCUGACAUCGGCCGCUCCAAUAGCGCGAGGCCUUGCGGUCCCCGCUUUCACCCGUAGGUCGUAUGCGGUAUUAAUCCGGCUUUCGCCGGGCUAUCCCCCACUACUGGGCACGUUCCGAUGCAUUACUCACCCGUUCGCCACUCGUCGCCAGGUUGCCCCGCGUUACCGUUCGACUUGCAUGUGUAAGGCAUGCCGCCAGCGUUCAAUCUGAGCCAGGAUCAAACUCU
This 500-nucleotide ribosomal RNA is filed under the name uncultured Burkholderiales Genera incertae sedis bacterium. Its description in RNAcentral is "partial 16S ribosomal RNA". The record is from RNAcentral. Lineage: Bacteria; Pseudomonadati; Pseudomonadota; Betaproteobacteria; Burkholderiales.